GAUGAACGCUGGCGGCGUGCUUAACACAUGCAAGUCGAACGGAAAGGCCCAAGCUUGCUUGGGUACUCGAGUGGCGAACGGGUGAGUAACACGUGGGUGAUCUGCCCUGCACUUCGGGAUAAGCCUGGGAAACUGGGUCUCAUACCGGAUAGGACCACAUUUUGGGUGGUGUGGUGGAAAGUUUUUCGGUGUGGGAUGAGCUCGCGGCCUAUCAGCUUGUUGGUGGGGUAAUGGCCUACCAAGGGGUCGACGGGUAGCCGGCCUGAGAGGGUGUACGGCCACAUUGGGCCUGAGGGACGGCCCAGAAGCCUACGGGAGGCAGCAGUGGGGAGUAUUGCACAACGGGCGCAAGCCUGAUGCAGCGGCCCCGCGUUGGGAAUGACGUCUUUCGGGUUGUAAACUCCUGUCGCUGGGGACGAAGCGUUAUUUGACGGUACCUGGAGGAGAAGCACCGGCUAACUACGU
RNAcentral lists this ribosomal RNA (465 nucleotides) under uncultured bacterium. RNAcentral's name for it is "partial 16S ribosomal RNA". It matches the Rfam family "Bacterial small subunit ribosomal RNA", at positions 28 to 506 of the family's 1533-position model. The record is from RNAcentral.